AUACUGAUUUUUUUUUUGACGAUAUUGAUUCUGAUGAAGAUGAAGGGGGACUGUUUGGAAGUAAAAAAACUUAAGGUAAAAGUUCCAGAAAUGUGAAGCACAAAGAUUUUUUUGGUCCAGUUGAAAGUGAUGAAGACAUAGCAAGUGAUCAUGACGAUAAGCUGGGUUCAAACAAGAUGAUGAAAUUGCUGAAGAAGAGGCAGAAGAACUAAGCAUUUCUGAAAUAUGAAUGACAAAAAUUACAUCUUUAGAAAAAGAGUUAUUAGAAAAAAGCCUUGUCAGCAUCGGGGGGAAGUGACAGCACGGAAGAGACCAGAGAAUAGCCUCUUGAAGGAGACCCUGCACUCUGACCAUGCUGUCCGAAUGGUGCCUGUAAUUACAGAGGAAACGCCUUUCAACUGGAAGCUAUCAUUAAACAGAGGAUAAGGGAUCAGGUCAGUAAGAAUUUAAUUUAAUUUAAUUGAAAUGUCACUGAAAUUUUUAGAAAUAAUAUGACUGGCCAGGCACAGUGGCUCAUGCCUGUAAUCCCAGCACUUUGGGAGGCCAAGGCAGAUGGAUCACUUGAGGUCAGGAGUUUGAGACCAGUCUGUCCAAGAUGGUGAAACUCCCUUUCUACUAAAAAUACAAAAAUUAGCUGGGCAUGGUGGUGCAUGCCUGCAGUCCCAGCUACUCAGGAGGCUGAGUCAGGGGAAUCACUUGAACUUGAGAGAUGGAGGUUGCAGUGAGCUGAGAUGCGCCACUGUACUCCAGCCUGGGCAACAGGGUGAGACUCCAUCUCAAAAUCAAUCAGUCAAUCAAUCAAUAAAAAUAAAAAAUAAAGGGAAGAUGUGUCA
RNAcentral lists this long non-coding RNA (833 nucleotides) under Piliocolobus tephrosceles (Ugandan red Colobus). RNAcentral's name for it is "lncRNA (ENSPTEG00000020320.1)". Lineage: Eukaryota; Metazoa; Chordata; Mammalia; Primates; Cercopithecidae. The record is from RNAcentral.